AACCAGCUCUUCGAGUGGUCGGGAUAAUUAUUGGGCUUAAAGUGUCCGUAGCCGGUUUAGUAAGUUCCUGGUAAAAUCGGGUAGCUUAACUAUCUAUAUGCUAGGAAUACUGCUAUACUAGAGGGCGGGAGAGGUCUGAGGUACUACAGGGGUAGGGGUGAAAUCUUAUAAUCCUUGUAGGACCACCAGUGGCGAAGGCGUCAGACUGGAACGCGCCUGACGGUGAGGGACGAAAGCCAGGGGAGCGAACCGGAUUAGAUACCCGGGUAGUCCUGGCUGUAAACGAUGCAUACUAGGUGAUGGCACGGCCAUGAGCCGUGUCAGUGCCGUAGGGAAACCGUUAAGUGUACCGCCUGGGAAGUACGGUCGCAAGGCUAAAACUUAAAGGAAUUGGCGGGGGAGCACCACAAGGGGUGAAGCCUGCGGUUC
RNAcentral lists this ribosomal RNA (429 nucleotides) under uncultured archaeon. RNAcentral describes it as "bacterial SSU rRNA". It matches the Rfam family "Archaeal small subunit ribosomal RNA", at positions 474 to 903 of the family's 1478-position model. The record is from RNAcentral.